This 117-nucleotide ribosomal RNA is filed under the name Danio rerio (zebrafish). The record is from RNAcentral. Lineage: Eukaryota; Metazoa; Chordata; Actinopteri; Cypriniformes; Danionidae.
UAACACAGCCAUAUCACCCUGCAGCCCAAGAGCGGUUACUCACUGAGGCUAGGCAGGGCUGAGCCUGGUCAGUACCUAGGUCAAAGACCACAUGGGAAAACCAGGUUGCUGUUGGAA